Non-coding RNA from Taeniopygia guttata (zebra finch), 2715 nucleotides. NCBI's taxonomy places the organism in Eukaryota, Metazoa, Chordata, Aves, Passeriformes, Estrildidae. The record is from RefSeq and is a predicted model, not a curated record.
GGGCACCGAGAGGGCACCGAGAGGGCACCGAGAGGGCGGGAGGGACGGGCCGGCAGCGGCCGGGCACGCUGGGAGGGGCACGGCUUGCGGAGGCGGUGGCCGGUCCCAGAGCUGAGCCGACAUCGGCCCUUCCACCUUCCGUUCCCGGCUCCCGCCGCCUCUCACGGCGCUGGCUCCGUUCCUGCCCUGUGUCUGUGCUCCUGUGCGGGGAAUAAACACAGAACUGGGCGUUAAACCCGCGCUGCUCCGGACCGGGGAGCUGAUCUAGCGAUACUUGUCAUUUAGGGCAUUAAAUUAACCAAUGUAGCUUUUCCAGGGAGGUUUUGUGAUAAUGAAGUCACGCAGGAGCUAAACAGCUUCGGUCUCUGUGAGAGCUGUGCAGGUGAAAUGUCAGUCAUGGAAUCGCACAGUGGUUUGGGAUGGAAGGAGCUGAAUUCAUCCAGUCCUGCCUCCUGUCCUGUGUGGGGACACCUUCCUCCAUCCUGGGCUGCUCCAAGCCCCGUCCAGCCUGCCCUUGGGUGCUUCAGGGGUAGCCACAGCUGCUCUGUGAAUUCUAUUCUAGGGUCUGUCCACCUUCCCAGCCAAGAAUUCCUCCCCAAUCCCCCAUCCAGCCCUGCCCUCUGGCAGUGGGAGCCAUUCCCUGUGUCCUGUCCCUCCAUCCUUGUCCCCAGCCCCUCUCCAGCUCUCCUGGAGCCCCUUCAGGCCCUGCAAGGGGCUCUGAGCUGUCCCUGGAGCUUCUCCUCUCCAGGUAAGCCUCCCAGCUUGCCCAGACCUGGAGCAGCUUGUCUGUUUUCCAUCCCUCCAUCCCCCAUCCUUUGCUCAUUCUGGGGGUUGUCCUGACCCUUGCACUUGGCCUUGUUGAACCUCGUGGGUCCAAGUUGCCAUGAACCCACUCUGUCAGCUUCUCCAGGUCCCUCUGGAUGCCCCAUCCCGUCCCUCUGGUGUGUGAUCACACCACCAGCUUGGUGUCAUCAAUUAUUAAUAAAUCAUCCAUGUGCUGCAUGUUACUCCAUGUUUUUCCUGCAGUCACGAGCUUAGAUAAUAAAAGCAAGCUUGGGGCGAUAAUUUAUAAGUCUGGGUUUCCCCCUUUGUCUCCAGUUUCCCCCUUGCCCUACUACCAGCUUGUGAUGGGAAUAGGGGAGGUUUCUCCUUCAUCUGGAAGGUCAUUCCUUGUCAGGCUGGCUGAUGGGCAAACAGUACCGAGGGGAAUUUGGGAUGGUGUUUUGACCUCAAAGCAGACUUGGUGGAGGUGUUGGCUGAGGCUCGGUGGUAGUAAAGGACAGUCUGAGUGUGCAAAGUCCCAAAGCCCCGUGGUUCCUGUGGGUUGGUGUUGGGUUUUUAAUGCACGUGAGGGAGAAGUGCUCUAAGGUGUGUUUGGUGGUGGAGCUCUGCGCUGAACAGCAAUAUGGUCACCCACGAGCUUGGUUCUGAGGCAAGGAGCUCACCUUGGUGUGAGCAGGAAAUUCCACAGGGCGAAAACCCAAGAUGUGGCCUCGGGACGCUGGGUUUGGACUUGGCAGCCGGAGCAGGAGCCGACCAAGGCCCGUCUGUGUGAGGAGUUCCCCUGGAUCGAGCUGGCCCGUCCCAUCCCGGUUCCAGUGUCACAGCAGCGUGGCUGGAGUGGGGGAGCGCCUUCUGCGGUACUCGUGGUGCUGAAUCUGCUUUGCUCUGGUAGUAAACGAUGAGCAGAUGUGUGUGCAAGUCCUGCUCGGCUGCCAGGAGCUGCUGCCAGUGCGGCCGUGGCUCUGGGUGUGGCUGCUGUGUCACCCUGCGGUUGUGACACCAGUUCCUAACAAGUAGCUGCAGCUUCUGCCUCGCAGCCUGCAGGUGUUGAGCGUGUGAGGGCAGAGCACGGACACAACGGGCUGGGGUUCACGGGGGAGAAGCUACAGGAUGCCGUGUGAGCAGAGUGACAAAUCCCACCGUGCCAGCACAGCCUCCAGGAGCUCAGCCUGCUCUUCCCGGGGUCUGGUGGGGUGGAGUUGCAGAAGAUAAAUCCCUGAACGUCUGGGUUUGUGCUGUUUGAGCACAAGUCUCCUCCUGGGGCAGUGUCCCUGUCACUGCAGUGGCCAUUGAGGCAUAAGUUUUUUGGUGGGGAGAGCCCUCACCCCGGCUUCCCUGCCCUGGCCUCUGCUUUGCAUUCCCUGCAGUCAAGUUCCAUGUUUGCCAUUGCAUUCACUCUGCUUCAGGCUUUAGGCACCGGGGAGUUUGUUCUGAUGGCUGGCUUGGGAACUGCCUGUGCAGAGAGGGCUUGUUGCUGUGAAAGGCUUUUUGUGUUUUGGGAGUAGAAAAACCUCCCACUUUGAUAAGUUCUUUGUGUUUCCAAGCAGCUCAUCUAUGAUUUGUAUUGAUUAAAGAAACAUCCUGACUGAGAUUUUAAUGGAAACAAACACCUUGAUGAGGCUGGGGCUGAUAAUGAGCGCGCACUAAUGAACAGAAUUAAUUUCCUGCCUGAUCAAAACAAGGUUUAUACCUUGUGCUGAGAGAGCUGCUGCACUACAGAAUUUGGGUGAUAAGGUUUUCUACCCCGAAGGUGGCACACUGGAAGUAAACCUGGAAGGGCGUCCAGGGAGGGCUGUUUGGGCACAGGAGGAGCAGCAGCCCUGGGGGUGCUGGCAUUUGAAACACACUGGCCAUGCUGGCUGUGGCAGGGGCAGAAUGGCUGGGAAUGGAGUGAGUGAGUGGCUGUUGUUCCCCUGCCACUGGGAGAAGAAA